AUGUAUAGAGCGUUAAUCCAGUCUGAUGUACUAGUUGAUAAUAAUAAGAAGAUCUGAAAGAUGAAGAUACCUCUAAAGAAUAAAAUCUUUGCAUGGUAUCUUCGUCAUGGAGUCAUUCUUACUAAAGAUAACCUUACUAAGAUAAAUUGGCAUGGAAGCCCGCAAUGUGUCUUUUGUCACCAUGAUGAGACAAUAAAACAUUUAUCUUCCAAUGCAAAUUGGGUCGUUCUAUAUGGUCAGUCAUCCAGAUAG
This 252-nucleotide ribosomal RNA is filed under the name Triticum aestivum (bread wheat). RNAcentral describes it as "partial small subunit ribosomal RNA". Lineage: Eukaryota; Viridiplantae; Streptophyta; Magnoliopsida; Poales; Poaceae. The record is from RNAcentral.